This 252-nucleotide ribosomal RNA is filed under the name uncultured bacterium. RNAcentral's name for it is "partial 16S ribosomal RNA". It matches the Rfam family "Bacterial small subunit ribosomal RNA", at positions 524 to 776 of the family's 1533-position model. The record is from RNAcentral.
UACGGGGGGGGCAAGCGUUGUUCGGAAUUACUGGGCGUAAAGGGCUCGUAGGUGGCCAACUAAGUCAGACGUGAAAUCCCCAGGCUCAACUUGGGAACUGCGUCUGAUACUGGAUGGCUUGAAUUCGGGAGAGGGAUGCAGAAUUCCAGGUGUAGCGGUGAAAUGCGUAGAUAUUGGAGGAAUACCGGUGGCGAAGGCGGCAACCUGGACAAGCACUGACACUCAACUGCGAAAGCGUGGGGAGCAAACAGG